AUGGCCAAGUCGGGGAAGCGCCGGACGAGGACCUCGCCGCCGGCCACCGCCCUCGCCUCCACAAUCACCACGUCCUCCACCUCAUCCUCCACAAACCGCGAAGAAACCGCCUCGCCAUCGCCGGACAUCCUACCGGAGCUGAUCGCAUUGAUCGCGAGCCGGCUGACGACCCUCGAGGACUUCUUCGCCCUCGUUGCCGCCUGCCGCGCCUACCGAGCUCACCUCCCGUUGUCAUCGUCCAACCUCGCCUCGCAGGGUCCGCUCCUCCUCAUCCACCAGAAGGCCUCUGCCUCGGAAGCGCUCUACCACGUCCCCCUCCGCCGCAUCCUCCGCUUCCGCCUCCCGCGCACCCCCGUGGCGGUGGCCCAUGGACGCCGCAGCCCCACCUGCUUCAGCCGGCUCUUCACCCCCAAAGAAGUCACCCUCACCUGCUUCCACUCCUUCGGCUGCCGUGUCGCCAUCAGAAACAUCUUUACCGCCAGCCGCCCCGAGUUUCGCAUCUGCCAUCUCCUCACAGGCGAGCGAGCCCGCCUGCCCCAUCCCCCUACACCCAUUGGAUGUGUUCUCUUUUCUGGCGACUUAGUCCUCGCCUUCAUGCCACGGCACCGUUACAUCUCCUACUGCUGUAUUGGGGAUGCUCAGUGGCAAGUGGCGUGGUGCGACGAAGGCUACCACCCUUACAGUCUGAUGUUCGUGAAAGGAACCCUCUACGCGUUGAUUUAUCCAAAUUACCGUCUUGCUGUUGUCGAGCUUAACAACAAUUCUAUGGUAUUGUCGUUUCUUGAGGAUGAACUUAGCGCACGGACAGUUCCAGAUAGUUCGGUGGCCUUGCUCGCAGAGUGCCAUGGUGAGAUAUUGCUAAUUGUCAGAACCAAGUUGUACCAUGUUUUCAAGUGGCAAUCCGGGGAGAAGAAGUGGGCGAGCACUGACAGCCUUGGUGGUUGUAGCUUGUUCUUUAAUAGGCAUGAGUUUGCUGGUUGCCUUGGUCCAGAUCAUCCAGGAGUUCGAAGAGACUGCUUGUACUUUACUGGAAACUUUGGGUACUGGAGUGAGUAUUCUUUGGUUGAUAGAUCUUUGCAUGAAAUUCUUGCCGACUACCCAGGGAGACCACUACGGGAGGAUUGUUUUCCACUGGCUUGGGUCCUUCCAAGCAUUUGUUGA
This 1161-nucleotide ribosomal RNA is filed under the name Triticum aestivum (bread wheat). RNAcentral's name for it is "partial small subunit ribosomal RNA". Lineage: Eukaryota; Viridiplantae; Streptophyta; Magnoliopsida; Poales; Poaceae. The record is from RNAcentral.